RNAcentral lists this transfer RNA (82 nucleotides) under Aeromicrobium sp. IC_218. It matches the Rfam family "tRNA". From Rfam's summary of the family: Transfer RNA (tRNA) molecules are approximately 80 nucleotides in length. Their secondary structure includes four short double-helical elements and three loops (D, anti-codon, and T loops). The record is from Rfam by way of RNAcentral. Lineage: Bacteria; Bacillati; Actinomycetota; Actinomycetes; Propionibacteriales; Nocardioidaceae.
GGCAGGUUGCCCGAGUGGCCAAAGGGAUCUGACUGUAAAUCAGACGGCUUCGCCUUCAGAGGUUCGAAUCCUCUACCUGCCA